AUUGAACGCUGGCGGCGUGCCUAACACAUGCAAGUCGAGCGGUAACAGGUGUAGCAAUACAUGCUGACGAGCGGCGGACGGGUGAGUAACGCUUGGGAAUCUGCCUGUUAGUGGGGGACAACCCGGGGAAACUCGGGCUAAUACCGCAUACGCACUACGGUGGAAAGCCGGGGACCGCAAGGCCUGGCGCUAACAGAUGAGCCCAAGUCGGAUUAGCUAGUUGGUAAGGUAAUGGCUUACCAAGGCGACGAUCCGUAGCCGGCCUGAGAGGGCGGUCGGCCACACUGACACUGACAUACGGGUCAGACUCCUACGGGAGGCAGCAGUCGGGAAUUUUGGGCAAUGGGCGAAAGCCUGACCCAGCAACGCCGCGUGAAGGAUGAAAUCCCUCGGGAUGUAAACUUCGCAAGAACGGGAAGAAUAAGUAGGGGACAAUACCCCCUAUGAUGACGGUACCGUUUGUAAGCUCCGGCUAACUCCGUGCCAGCAGCCGCAGUAAC
This 500-nucleotide ribosomal RNA is filed under the name uncultured bacterium. RNAcentral describes it as "bacterial SSU rRNA". It matches the Rfam family "Bacterial small subunit ribosomal RNA", at positions 29 to 524 of the family's 1533-position model. The record is from RNAcentral.